GUUAGUUGAGAAUUAUUUUCAUUGUAAUCAGAAUUUAUAUAUUGAAUGUUUUUCAUGCUUUUGAACACUUUUUAAAUGUUGGUUACAGGAGGAUGAACAUGACAUAGAUGUUGACACUGCUGCAUCUGGGACUCAAACUGUUGCAAAACACUGCUUGCUAAAGCUUGUACGCCUCGGUUACCAUUGUUCGCUGAUGUUCUAGCAUCCAGGCUCUACUUCUAUUAUUCUCUUAGCUAUGAACUCCCUGGGGGUCUUGAUGAAAUUAGAGGGAAGCACUUCUUUGCCUGAUAGUUACAACUUAUAUGAUCAGGCAAAGAAGCAUCUGUCAAAGGCACCUCGAUUUGGAGCCCAUUCAAACCAGCCGGUAACUCUUAAUCUAUGA
This is a long non-coding RNA of Quercus lobata, 382 nucleotides long. RefSeq lists it as uncharacterized. The record is from RefSeq and is a predicted model, not a curated record. NCBI's taxonomy places the organism in Eukaryota, Viridiplantae, Streptophyta, Magnoliopsida, Fagales, Fagaceae. The transcript has 3 exons.